GUGGUGGUACCGUGGUCAUGAACUUUGCAUUUUCCUGGUGUUUGUUCAUGUUCUCAGUGUGGUGAAAGCUUUUCCCUUAUCAGAAGAUCUUCCUGGAGGCUGAUUGAAGGCAGCAGAAGAAAUGCGUUUUGGUUUCUGUGAGUUUUGUAGUGAAAGUUGCUUCUCCUCACAGAGAAAUAGGUGUUCCAUUAGUUGCAACCAUAACUCGACCUUGGGCUCCUCUUGGCUCUGCUGGCGGUCUCUCACGUGGCCGCGGUUGCUUAUCCUUCCUCCUUGUCCAUGACUUGGCAAUGCAGAAAAAUCUGACAAGCUCUUCAUACCAAGUCCUCAAUAAGAGUGUUCAUCUGUUACAAAUCUGGUUCGCUGGCUCCAGAAGUGUUGGCAGGCAUCGUCUGGCUUCUCCUGGAACUGUAGAGCGGGCAAGAGAAGUGGACGGCACACGCUGCGAAGCCCAAGGUCUGAUAACUCAGUGGAAAGAGGGCAAAGAGAAGAAACAGCUGAAUGCCUUUGGGGAGGCAGAGGGGUGAAACAAGAGCAGCUGCCAGCCCCGGUGUGGGAAACUGGCAGGAAAAGAAGCCCCGUCCGACAUGCCGACAUCUCUAUCCCUCGCUGUCUGUGCUUCAGGAAAGUCUCCGAUGACCGAGGCAGCAUCCCCAUGAAACCUGCUGCGUUGCGAUUUCAUUCACGCCUAAAACUGUUUCUCUCAGCACUGACUGGGGAGCGAUCAACAGCCGGGACAAAAGCUCAGCGAAGGCAGCACGUCUCCUCCUCGCCUGGCCUCGGGUGUGACUCUGAGCAUCCAUUUCUCCAGCUGCUUCUCCCCCAUCCCAAACAUGAUGUGAUCUCUUUGCUGCUUGCCUUCCCGAGGUCGAGGAGGAGGAGGGAGAUGCCGUGGUGAUGCUUUGUGUCCGGAUGCUCCUGGCUCCAAGCGUGGUGCUUUGGGCAGGAGUCAGCUCCCCGGAUCUCUAGUCCCUCGCUGUCACUCGGGAUGGGAUGCGCAUCAUCCCACGUCCCUGUCCCAUCCCACACCUUUGUCCUGCGAGCCUGCAGGAGCAAAGGCACCUGAACAGAUGGCGGAAAAAGUCCGGUUUAAAAAUAAAAAAAGUGUGACAAAACCUCCCCACUUUUAGACCUUCAGCGGUCACGUCUCCGUGCUGCUCCUGGUUUCGAGAGCCAGCGUGCAGCGGCUUCGCACCCGGGGCUCCGGAUUUGACACCCGCCUGCAGCGAGGCGGGGAUGCCGC
Molecule: long non-coding RNA, 1243 nt
Filed under: Columba livia (rock pigeon)
Lineage: Eukaryota; Metazoa; Chordata; Aves; Columbiformes; Columbidae
Description: partial uncharacterized LOC106146060
Source: RNAcentral